CCUACGUGUGGCAGCAGUGGGGAAUAUUGGGCAAUGGAGGCAACUCUGACCCAGCAACGCCGCGUGAAUGAUGAAGGUCUUCGGAUUGUAAAGUUCUGUGAUGGGGGAUGAACACAAUGACGGUACCCCAAUAGCAAGCUACGGCUAACUACGUGCCGGCAGCCGCGGUAAUACGUAGGUGGCAAGCGUUAUCCGGAAUGACUGGGCGUAAAGGGUGCGUAGGUGGUUUAGUAAGUUGGCGGUGUAAUUCCGGGGCUCAACCGUGGCGCUGCCGCCAAGACUAUUAGACUAGAGUGCGGGAGGGGUAAGUGGAAUUCCUAGUGUAGCGGUGAAAUGCGUAGAUAUUAGGAGGAACAUCGGGGGCGAAGGCGACUUACUGGACUGUAACUGACGCUGAGGCACGAAAGCGUGGGGAGCAAACAGGAUUAGAUACCCUGGUAGUC
Molecule: ribosomal RNA, 443 nt
Filed under: uncultured bacterium
Lineage: Bacteria
Description: partial 16S ribosomal RNA
Rfam family: Bacterial small subunit ribosomal RNA
Source: RNAcentral